RNAcentral lists this ribosomal RNA (438 nucleotides) under uncultured bacterium. RNAcentral's name for it is "bacterial SSU rRNA". It matches the Rfam family "Bacterial small subunit ribosomal RNA", at positions 958 to 1399 of the family's 1533-position model. The record is from RNAcentral.
AACGCGAAGAACCUUACCUGGUCUUGACAUCCUCUGAUCGCCGUAGAGAUACGGUUUCCCUUCGGGGCAGAGAGACAAGUGCUGCAUGGCUGUCGUCAGCUCGUGUCGUAGGAUGUUGGGUUAAGUCCCGCAACGAGCGCAACCCUUGCCUUUAGUUGCUACCAUUAAGUUGAGCACUCUAAAGGGACUGCCGGUGUUAAACCGGAGGAAGGCGGGGAUGACGUCAAGUCCUCAUGGCCUUUACGACCAGGGCUACACACGUACUACAAUGGUAGAGACAAACCGAUGCCAAACCGCAAGGUGGAGCGAAUCGGAAAAACACUACCUCAGUUCGGAUUGGAGUCUGCAACUCGACUCCAUGAAGCUGGAAUCGCUAGUAAUCGCAGAUCAGCACGCUGCGGUGAAUACGUUCCCGGGCCUUGUACACACCGACGAGUA